Molecule: long non-coding RNA, 357 nt
Organism: Dromiciops gliroides (monito del monte)
Lineage: Eukaryota; Metazoa; Chordata; Mammalia; Microbiotheria; Microbiotheriidae
Exons: 3
Source: RefSeq, a predicted model, not a curated record
UUUUCACUUAUCGGGAACAAAAUGUAUGCCUGUUUACAGCAAUGGUACUCAGAAAGUUAUUGUCAUACUAUAUAACAUACUGGUUACUUAGAUCCAAAAGACAGUAAACCUGGGAACUCUGAAAUCUCCUCCAAGAGGAUGCAGAUGUGAGAAAAAGGAAUUCAACAGAGGAAAAAUAUUGUUUAAAAAUGGAUUGUCAUGAGAAUAAGAAGAUAUUGAAAAGUGUGCCACAUGCAAGACAAUGUUGUUAGAAUAUAGCCUUUACAGAGUGACAAACUGGAGAAAUUUCCCAUAGACAAUUCUGACAAUACUCAGCAAAAGAAUGCAGUUACUUUAAGUCAUAAAAGAAUAAAAAUU